GGCGAGCGAAGCGGGNNNAGCUCAAAUUUAUAAUCUGGCACCUUCGGUGUCCGAGUUGUAAUCUCUAGAAGUGUUUUCCGCGUUGGACCGCACACAAGUCUGUUGGAAUACAGCGGCAUAGUGGUGAAACCCCCGUAUAUGGUGCGGACGCCCAGCGCUUUGUGAUACACUUUCAAUGAGUCGAGUUGUUUGGGAAUGCAGCUCAAAUUGGGUGGUAAAUUCCAUCUAAAGCUAAAUAUUGGCGAGAGACCGAUAGCGAACAAGUACCGUGAGGGAAAGAUGAAAAGCACUUUGGAAAGAGAGUUAACAGUACGUGAAAUUGUUGGAAGGGAAACGCUUGAAGUCAGACUUGCUUGCCGGAGCUUGCUUCGGUUUGCAGGCCAGCAUCAGUUUUCCGGGGUGGAUAAUGACGGUUUGAAGGUAGCAGUCUCGGCUGUGUUAUAGCUUUCCGUUGGAUACAUCCUGGGGGACUGAGGAACGCAGCGUGCUUUUUGCGAAAGACUCGUCUUUUUCACGCUUAGGAUGCUGGUGGAAUGGCUUUAAACGACCCGUCUUNNAAACACGG
RNAcentral lists this ribosomal RNA (565 nucleotides) under Rhodotorula glutinis. RNAcentral's name for it is "eukaryotic LSU rRNA". It matches the Rfam family "Eukaryotic large subunit ribosomal RNA", at positions 88 to 664 of the family's 3401-position model. The record is from RNAcentral. Lineage: Eukaryota; Fungi; Basidiomycota; Microbotryomycetes; Sporidiobolales; Sporidiobolaceae.